Molecule: long non-coding RNA, 272 nt
Organism: Callorhinchus milii (elephant shark)
Lineage: Eukaryota; Metazoa; Chordata; Chondrichthyes; Chimaeriformes; Callorhinchidae
Exons: 3
Source: RefSeq, a predicted model, not a curated record
ACUUGCCCCGGGGACCCACACAUCAUGCGAACAACUUGACAUAACGUCUGCAAAGUGUAGUGACUGGGUGUUUUGGAGAUGAACCUGGCAACCGAUUCGAGCACAGCGAUGGACUGGACGCCACACAAAGAGCCACGGAGUGAGUGGUUUGUCACCCCAACGUGAACAAGGUUUUAAAGACAUUCCAAAGCAACACAGACAAUAACAAGAGGGAUUAAAAGAAUUCCAGUGACUCUGUCAAUGAAUGAACUGAAUGUGAGGCGAUGUGGCAC